CUGGCUCUGUGCACCUCAGUGUUGCCCCAGAGCUGCCACCUCCUGUCUGCUGGGGACACCGGGCAUGAGCCACAAUGACCAUGACACCAGCACUGGCUUUGCUCAUCCUUCUGGCAGCUCCACCAGGUAUCCUGGCCCAGGUCACGCUGAAGGAGUCUGGCCCAGGGGUCGUGAAGCCCGGAGAGACCCUCAGCCUGACCUGCACCGUGUCUGGAUUUUCUCUCACUAGCUAUCAUAUGCAGUGGGUUCGGCAGGCAGCAGGGAAAGGGCUGGAGUGUGUUGGAGGUAUCUGGAGUGCUGGAGGCACUAACUAUAACAGUGCUCUCCAAAGCCGCCUCAACAUCAGCAGAGACACUUCCAGAAGCCAAGUGCACCUGCGCCUGACUGGGGUCCAACCUGGAGACACAGCCUGGUAUUACUGUGCCAGAGACUCACACAGUGAAUGA
This is a non-coding RNA of Alligator sinensis (Chinese alligator), 446 nucleotides long. The record is from the annotation of a RefSeq genome assembly. Lineage: Eukaryota; Metazoa; Chordata; Crocodylia; Alligatoridae.